UAAGAUGAGUCUCCGAAUAUCAGGUAGAAGUCAGGGUAAGACCUGACUAGCUUACGACGGAUACGGUCUGUGAGAGCAAUAACCCGGAGACGAUAUCUGAGACACGAUAUCGGGCCCUACGGGGCGCAGCAGGCGCGAAACCUUCACACUGUGCGAAAGCGCGAUGAGGGGAUCCCAAGUGCUGGCUCUUAGGAGUAAGCUGUUUCUCUGUUUAAAACGCAGGGAGAGGAAGGUCUGGUUAAGACGGGUGCCAGCCGCCGCGGUAAUACCUGCAGCUCAAGUGGUGACCGCUAUUAUUGGGCCUAAAACGUUCGUAGCCGUCUGAGUAAAUGCCUGGGUAAAUCGUGCCGCUUAACGGUACGAAUUCCGGGUAGACUGCUUAGCUUGAGACCGGGAGAAGCUAGAGGUACUCCUGGGGUAGGGGUGAAAUCCUGUAAUCCUGGGGGGACCACCAGUGGCGAAGGCGUCUAGCUAGAACGGGUCUGACGGUGAGGAACGAAACCCUGGGGCGCAAACCGGAUUAGAUACCCGGGUAGUCCAGGGCGCAAACGCUGCUUGCUUGAUGUUAGCUGGGCUCCGAGCUCAGCUAGUGUCGGAGUGAAGAUGUUAAGCAAGCUGCCUGGGAAGUACGAUCGCAAGAUUGAACUCAAAUGUAUUGACGG
RNAcentral lists this ribosomal RNA (662 nucleotides) under uncultured archaeon. RNAcentral's name for it is "bacterial SSU rRNA". It matches the Rfam family "Archaeal small subunit ribosomal RNA", at positions 205 to 871 of the family's 1478-position model. The record is from RNAcentral.